GCUCUGGUGGCCUAAGUGGUUAGAGCGUCCGCCUUACGUGCCAGAGGUCGCGGGUUCGAACCCCGGUUUUGUAAUACUAAAGACA
Molecule: non-coding RNA, 85 nt
Organism: Potamilus streckersoni
Lineage: Eukaryota; Metazoa; Mollusca; Bivalvia; Unionida; Unionidae
Source: the annotation of a GenBank genome assembly